This 318-nucleotide ribosomal RNA is filed under the name Triticum aestivum (bread wheat). Its description in RNAcentral is "partial small subunit ribosomal RNA". Lineage: Eukaryota; Viridiplantae; Streptophyta; Magnoliopsida; Poales; Poaceae. The record is from RNAcentral.
AUGAUGAGAAUACUAAUGAAAGGAGAGACUUCCCAAUAUCCUCCUAUUAUUUCUCAUGAUGAAUCAGGUAAUGAGGGGGAGCUUUCUAUUCAACCAAUCUCAUCACUAAGGAGCUCAAAGAGGAAGGUUAAACCCACACAUAAUGAGAAUAAGAAAAAGAAAAGAAGAAGCAACAAAGGUAGAAAGGUAUCCCUCCCAAAUGAUGUUGCUCCUACUACUCAUUGUGAUGAUGGUAAUUGUUUUACUAUUGGUGUUAUCCAUAUUUUUAAUGAUGAGUAUGAAAUAUUUGAGAAUAUAUUUGCUGGAAUUAAUGUUUGA